AAGUCGUAACAAGGUUUCCGUAGGUGAACCUGCGGAAGGAUCAUCACUGCAUCCGCACCUUUUUGUCACACCUCUGUGGAACGUUGAGAAAGCGGAAGAAAGCACGCGUGUGUGCUCUUUGAGCGCACGCGUGUCUUUUUUCCAUCUCUUCAUUCAUAAAACAACGCCGAACGCUCUUAUGAAAAACAAACAAAAACAAAUAGACACAACUUUUAACAACGGAUCUCUUGGUUCUC
RNAcentral lists this unclassified non-coding RNA (236 nucleotides) under fungal sp. RNAcentral's name for it is "partial internal transcribed spacer region". The stretch from base 1 to 46 matches the Rfam family "Eukaryotic small subunit ribosomal RNA", at positions 1786 to 1831 of the family's 1831-position model. Lineage: Eukaryota; Fungi. The record is from RNAcentral.